This 517-nucleotide ribosomal RNA is filed under the name Aureobasidium sp. 6 GAMM-2015. RNAcentral's name for it is "eukaryotic LSU rRNA". It matches the Rfam family "Eukaryotic large subunit ribosomal RNA", at positions 69 to 592 of the family's 3401-position model. The record is from RNAcentral. Lineage: Eukaryota; Fungi; Ascomycota; Dothideomycetes; Dothideales; Saccotheciaceae.
CAGCGAUCGCCCUAAUAACGGCGAGUGAAGCGGCAACAGCUCAAAUGCGAAAGCUCGCCUUCGGGUCCGCAUCGUAAUUCGUAGAGGAGGCCACGGGUGAAACGCCAGUAUAAGGCCCCUGGAACAGGACGUCAUAGAGGGUGAGAAUCCAGUAUGGUGACGGGAAAUGUUAACCUAGGUAAAGCUCCUUCGACGGCUAGAGUUGUUCGGGAAUGCAGCUCUAACUGGGAGGUAAAUCUCUUCCAAAGCUAAAUAUUGGCGAGAGACCGAUAGCGCACAAGUAGAGUGAUCGAAAGAUGAAAAGCACUUAGGAAAAAAAGUUAAAAACCACGUGAAAUUGUUGAAAGGAAAACGCUUGCAAUCAAACUAGUUUAAACUGUUCGGCCGGUCUUCUGACCGGACUACUCACUUUGGAUCAGGCCAGCAUCAUGUUCGGCGGCCGGAUAAAGGCUCUUGCGAACCGUGGCCUUCACUACGGUGAACGUGGUAUAGCCCGAAGGGGUAAUACGGCCAGCCG